CCUACGGGAGGCAGCAGUGGGGAAUAUUGGGCAAUGGGGGAAACCCUGACCCAGCGACGCCGCGUGGAGGAUGACGGCCUUCGGGUUGUAAACUCCUGUCAGGUGGGAAGAAACACCAUCCGGCUAAUAUCCGGAUGGAAUUGAUUGUACCACCAAAGGAAGCCCCGGCUAACUCCGUGCCAGCAGCCGCGGUAAUACGGAGGGGGCAAGCGUUAUUCGGAUUUACUGGGCGUAAAGCGCACGUAGGCGGCAUGGUAAGUCACAGGUGAAAGCCCUCGGCUCAACCGAGGAACUGCCUUUGAAACUGCCUUGCUUGAGUCCGGGAGGGGGGAGCGGAAUUCCCAGUGUAGCGGUGAAAUGCGUAGAUCCUGGGAGGAACACCGGUGGCGAAGGCGGCUCCCUGGACCGGUACUGACGCUGAGGUGCGAAAGCGUGGGUAGCAAACAGGAUUAGAUACCCUGGUAGUCCACGCCGUAAACGAUGGGCACUAGGUGCAGCGGGUGUCGACCCCUGCUGUGCCGUAGUUAACGCAUUAAGUGCCCCGCCUGGGGAGUACGG
Molecule: ribosomal RNA, 558 nt
Filed under: uncultured bacterium
Lineage: Bacteria
Description: bacterial SSU rRNA
Rfam family: Bacterial small subunit ribosomal RNA
Source: RNAcentral